CAAUGUGUUCCAGUGAAUGAGGAAAGAAACUGUGUGAUCUAAUGGAAACAGACUUCCUUUAUCUUUCUGUUAACCAUUAACGCCAUUGAAUGGCAGUGCACGCCUAAAGACAAGCCCUGUUCAAACAAUAAAACUGUUUCUGAGAGGGCGAAAUAGAGCUGCUGCUACAUGAAACAAAGAAACGUAGGUUGACCAGCAAUUGUCUAUCUUAGGAGUUAGGACACAUUUUUGACAUCGAUCUAAACUGAUGUAAGCUACAGUAUGACUGUAUGUUGCAACUAUGACAUCAUGAGGUGACUAUAUAUUUUGUCCAACAGAAGUUAGAGGCUUGGCAGCACUGAGCCCCAUAAGGACAUUUCACUUGUCCAUCUCACAAUGUUUACAAGUACAUUUCGUUUUUAAUAUUGUCCUAUGGGCUUUUUUUCUUUGAAACAUUUCAUUUUUAAAAUCAAAUAAUGCUCCUCAGUGAGGACUUUUUGUUUGUUUUAUGUUCAUUUUGUGAAUAAUUUGUGAAUACUUUGUGGAUAAUUGAUGCAAUACUUUGAUAAUACAGAGAUUGUUUUCUAGCAAAUAUGUCAGACUUUCAUUUUUAGGACUAAGUGCUACUGAGAAGGUGUUUGUUGUGAACUUGACCUGGCACCUGUAUUCUACAUCCCCGUCCACAGUGGUGAUAAGCAAUAUUAACGACCUUUGUACCCUAUGGAUUUCCAUACCUUUAUUUAUACAGACAUUACUUUUGUAUGUCCAUAUGGCUGCCUCAUCAUGCUUUAUGAUUCCCAAGGUGAAAACAAAACAUUUUACCUGUUUGUAUUUCCAACCGACAAUUCUCAGAUUUUUGCCAAACACAGUACCUACACAUUGACUAGAGUAACAUAUGAGUGUUACUGUGUGGUGACAACACUUUGAUUAUCUACAAUAGGCUAGCUUAGACCUUGACACCUUGUUACUCCACACAAUAAAGUAUGGGAGCGGUGUACUGUAUUAUGGUUUUGAGCUUCAGCCAGGGUCCUUUUAUCACAUUGACAGUGAUUAUAUGAGGAACUGCAACGUUUUUUUGAAUGGAUGAGAGAUCCUACAUCUGUAGGCUACCCUGCCAAAUUUCAGGUGGCUGAAAUUGUGGACAUUUUACAUAUACUAUACAUUCAUGAUAGACUUGUAUGAAGAAAUAAUCACACAGAUCUCAAAUCAUUAGUCACCAAAC
RNAcentral lists this long non-coding RNA (1201 nucleotides) under Salmo salar (Atlantic salmon). RNAcentral's name for it is "lncRNA (ENSSSAG00000110770.1)". Lineage: Eukaryota; Metazoa; Chordata; Actinopteri; Salmoniformes; Salmonidae. The record is from RNAcentral.